RNAcentral lists this long non-coding RNA (289 nucleotides) under Prunus persica (peach). RNAcentral describes it as "long non-coding RNA (PPER_LNC003172)". The record is from RNAcentral. Lineage: Eukaryota; Viridiplantae; Streptophyta; Magnoliopsida; Rosales; Rosaceae.
GGAAUUGAAACUACAAGGUCAAAAAUGGUUGAAGUGCCAAACUACAGAGACCAAAAGUGACUUUUAGCCAAAAUAUUAAGUACUCAUACGUUUAUAAACUCCGCCGCUAUACUCUAAGAAAAGGGCUACUAAAAUUGAAAGAUUCUAACCCUAAAGGAAAAAUGAUCAUCGCGUAUUUGAAAUUAAAUAAUUAAAUGCAAAAAUUUGCGAUGGGUCGUUACAUGUUGGUAAUUUCCCACACCUUAAAAAAUUUGAAAUUCAGUCAUAUAAUGAUUAUCAAAGAAUUUUG